This 466-nucleotide ribosomal RNA is filed under the name uncultured Planctomycetota bacterium. RNAcentral describes it as "bacterial SSU rRNA". It matches the Rfam family "Bacterial small subunit ribosomal RNA", at positions 372 to 829 of the family's 1533-position model. Lineage: Bacteria; Pseudomonadati; Planctomycetota. The record is from RNAcentral.
UGCCCGAAGGGUGACGAAGCGACGCCGCGUGGGUGAGGAAGGCCUUCGGGUUGUAAAGCCCUGUCAGGAGUUAAGAAAUGUAGACUCGCUAAUAUCGGGUCUAUUUGACAAAGGCUCCAAAGGAAGCCACGGCUAACUCUGUGCCAGCAGCCGCGGUAAUACAGAGGUGGCAAGCGUUGUUCGGAAUUAUUGGGCGUAAAGAGCACGUAGGUGGAUUUGUAAGUCAGACGUGAAAGCCUUCUGUUCAACGGAAGAAUUGCAUCUGAAACUACAAACCUUGAGUGUAGGAGGGGAGAAUGGAACUUCUGGUGGAGCGGUGAAAUGCGUAGAUAUCGGAAGGAACGCCGGCGGCGAAAGCGAUUCCCUGGCCUAUUACUGACACUCAGUGUGCGAAAGCUAGGGGAGCAAACGGGAUUAGAUACCCCGGUAGUCCUAGCCGUAAACGAUGGGCACUAAGUAGAGGGGU